RNAcentral lists this transfer RNA (69 nucleotides) under Ictidomys tridecemlineatus (thirteen-lined ground squirrel). RNAcentral describes it as "Spermophilus tridecemlineatus (thirteen-lined ground squirrel) tRNA". It matches the Rfam family "tRNA". Rfam says of the family: Transfer RNA (tRNA) molecules are approximately 80 nucleotides in length. Their secondary structure includes four short double-helical elements and three loops (D, anti-codon, and T loops). Lineage: Eukaryota; Metazoa; Chordata; Mammalia; Rodentia; Sciuridae. The record is from Rfam by way of RNAcentral.
GGGGCUGUAGUUCAGUGGUAGAGCACUUGUCUGGCAUAUAUGAGGUACUGAGUUCAAUUCUUAGCACCA